Molecule: ribosomal RNA, 498 nt
Filed under: uncultured bacterium
Lineage: Bacteria
Description: partial 16S ribosomal RNA
Rfam family: Bacterial small subunit ribosomal RNA
Source: RNAcentral
GACGAACGCUGGCGGCGUGCCUAAUACAUGCAAGUCGAGCGGACGAAUCGAAAGCUUGCUUUUGGUUCGUUAGCGGCGGACGGGUGAGUAACACGUGUGCAACCUGCCCUGUAGACGGGGAUAACACCGAGAAAUCGGUGCUAAUACCGGAUAACACGAAAUGUCGCAUGACGUUUCGUUGAAAGACGGCGCAAGCUGUCGCUACAGGAUGGGCCCGCGGGGCAUUAGCUAGAUGGUGAGGUAACGGCUCACCAAGGCGACGAUGCGUAGCCGACCUGCGGGGGUGAUCGGCCACACUGGGACUGAGACACGGCCCAGACUCCUACGGGAGGCAGCAGUAAGGAAUCUUCCGCAAUGGACGAAAGUCUGACGGAGCAACGCCGCGUGAGAGAAGAAGGCCUUCGGGUCGUAAAGCUCUGUUGUUAGGGAAGAACAAGUAACGCAGUAACUGGCGUUACCGUGACGGUACCUAACGAGAAAGCCACGGCUAACUACGUG